UUGAACGCUGGCGGAAUGCUUUACACAUGCAAGUCGAGCGGCAGCGCGGGGGCAACCCUGGCGGCGAGCGGCGAACGGGUGAGUAACACAUCGGAACGUACCCAGUUGUGGGGGAUAGCCCGGCGAAAGCCGGAUUAAUACCGCAUACGACCUGAGGGUGAAAGGGGGGGAUCGCAAGACCUCUCGCAGUUGGAGCGGCCGAUGGCGGAUUAGCUAGUUGGUGGGGUAAAGGCCUACCAAGGCGACGAUCCGUAGCUGGUCUGAGAGGACGACCAGCCACACUGGAACUGAGACACGGUCCAGACUCCUACGGGAGGCAGCAGUGGGGAAUUUUGGACAAUGGGGGCAACCCUGAUCCAGCCAUUCCGCGUGAGUGAAGAAGGCCUUCGGGUUGUAAAGCUCUUUCGGCAGGAACGAAACGGUGGAGGCUAAUACCUUUCAUCAAUGACGGUACCUGAAGAAGAAGCACCGGCUAACUACGU
Molecule: ribosomal RNA, 482 nt
Filed under: uncultured bacterium
Lineage: Bacteria
Description: bacterial SSU rRNA
Rfam family: Bacterial small subunit ribosomal RNA
Source: RNAcentral